UAGGGAAUCUUCGGCAAUGGACGAAAGUCUGACCGAGCAACGCCGCGUGAGUGAAGAAGGUUUUCGGAUCGUAAAACUCUGUUGUUAGAGAAGAACAAGGACGUUAGUAACUGAACGUCCCCUGACGGUAUCUAACCAGAAAGCCACGGCUAACUACGUGCCAGCAGCCGCGGUAAUACGUAGGUGGCAAGCGUUGUCCGGAUUUAUUGGGCGUAAAGCGAGCGCAGGCGGUUUCUUAAGUCUGAUGUGAAAGCCCCCGGCUCAACCGGGGAGGGUCAUUGGAAACUGCGAGACUUGAGUGCAGAAGAGGAGAGUGGAAUUCCAUGUGUAGCGGUGAAAUGCGUAGAUAUAUGGAGGAACACCAGUGGCGAAGGCGGCUCUCUGGUCUGUAACUGACGCUGAGGCUCGAAAGCGUGGGGAGCAAACAGG
This 429-nucleotide ribosomal RNA is filed under the name Gemmatimonadota bacterium. Its description in RNAcentral is "Gemmatimonadetes bacterium partial 16S ribosomal RNA". It matches the Rfam family "Bacterial small subunit ribosomal RNA", at positions 355 to 776 of the family's 1533-position model. The record is from RNAcentral. Lineage: Bacteria; Pseudomonadati; Gemmatimonadota.